GGAGAGAUGGCUGAGUGGACGAAAGCGACGAAUUGCUAAUUCGUUGUACAUUUGUACCGAGGGUUCGAAUCCCUCUCUUUCCG
RNAcentral lists this transfer RNA (83 nucleotides) under Drosera indica. Its description in RNAcentral is "tRNA-Ser". It matches the Rfam family "tRNA". Rfam says of the family: Transfer RNA (tRNA) molecules are approximately 80 nucleotides in length. Their secondary structure includes four short double-helical elements and three loops (D, anti-codon, and T loops). The record is from RNAcentral. Lineage: Eukaryota; Viridiplantae; Streptophyta; Magnoliopsida; Caryophyllales; Droseraceae.